UACGGGGGGGGUAAGCGUUGUUCGGAAUUACUGGGCGUAAAGGGCUCGUAGGUGGCCAACUAAGUCAGACGUGAAAUCCCUCAGCUUGACUGGGGAACUGCGUGUGAUACUGGAUGGCUUGGAUUUGGGAGAGGGAUGCGGAAUUCCAGGUGUAGCGGUGAAAUGCGUAGAUAUCUGGAGGAACACCGGUGGCGAAGGCGGCAUCCUGGACCAAUAUUGACGCUGAGGAGCGAAAGCCAGGGGAGCAAACGGG
This 253-nucleotide ribosomal RNA is filed under the name uncultured bacterium. RNAcentral describes it as "partial 16S ribosomal RNA". It matches the Rfam family "Bacterial small subunit ribosomal RNA", at positions 524 to 776 of the family's 1533-position model. The record is from RNAcentral.